Molecule: long non-coding RNA, 6645 nt
Filed under: Citrus x clementina
Lineage: Eukaryota; Viridiplantae; Streptophyta; Magnoliopsida; Sapindales; Rutaceae
Description: Citrus clementina (C. clementina) long non-coding RNA (CCLE_LNC001582)
Source: RNAcentral
AAACAAGUAUUGCUUGAAAUUUUGGAGAAUGACUUAUUUGAAAAGUGUCAUAGCAUUUUGGGCUAUACCAUAAUUUCAGAAAGUUUUGGGAUUAACAAAGCAUUUCUUAAAAAUUCUGAAAUUGGACCUAUGUGCAACGUUUCAUAACAUUUUGGGCCGUAAUACAGUUUUAUAAAAUUUUAGGGACAAACUAUAAAUUUGGAAAAUAAUUUCACUGUAGCAAUCACUGCAGCAAACGGCUAACCGUUUAUUUAAAAACGGCUAACCGAUAAUUUUCAGAAAGCAUGGUCUACAAAGUAUUGUUAAAAUGAUGAUUCUGGAAACUAACGGUGAACCGUUUACCGAAAAUGGUUAACCGAUUAUUUUCAGACUGCUAACCUUGAACCGUUUAGUAAGAACGGUUAAACCAAAUUUGUUUUGCAGGUCUCUGGAAAUUAACGGCGAAAGGGUAAGCCUAAACAGCUAACCGUUUAAUUAAAAAUUGGCCAAACGGUAACUUUGACCGGCCUAAACGGUUAACCGUUAAUGGUUAACGGCGAACCGUUUUGGAGCAGACAGUCUAUAACGGCUAGUUUUUCAGCUCCAACUAUAAAUAAGCUCAAUCCAAUUCAAACAAGAAGAAUUCCAACGAUCAUCAUUGAGCAAAAUAUUGAGAAUACAACUUUCAUUGAGCUUUAAAUCUUUGUAUUCAUCUCAUUCAUUCACACAUUGAGCUUUCACUUGUGAUCAAACACAUUGUGUGAGAGAGAUUCAUUUGUAAUCUUUUUUGUAAAAUCAAGUUAAAAGAUUGUAAGUGUUGGGAUACACUUGGGUUAAGAGAUUGGGGAUAAUCUCUUGUUGUAAAGGUCCAUUGACACCUUGGAAGUCAAUUGUAAGCGUUUGAAGCCUUGGGAGGCUAGCUUAGUGAAAUCCUCAAGCCCGGUGAGCUUGGAGGCGUGGACGUAGGCGGGGAUUGCCGAACCACGUAAAAAUCAUUGUGUUUGUUUUCUCUUCCCUUACUCUUUUAAUAUUGUGCACGAUUGAAUUUAUUGUUUUCAAUUUGAUUAAGGCAAUAGAUUAAAUUGUUGUGUGGUUUGCCUAGGAUAAUUUUUAAAAUCACAAUUCACCCCCCUCUUGGGUUGCCUAGUUAGUAUUUCAUUUGGUAUCAGAGCGAGGUGCUCUUUUGUAGACUUAACCGUCUAGAGUUAAAGAUCUAUAGCAACCCAAAUUAGCUCAAUUUUCAUGGAAGGCCAAUCCACCACUAGACCUCCAUUCUUUGAUGGUAAUGACUAUCCUUAUUGGAAAACUAGGAUGAGAGUGUUUUUACAAGCCUUAGAUUAUGAACUAUGGGAAAUAGUUUGUGAUGGUUCAUUCAGUCCUAGGAAGAAUGUUUUAAGUGAAUUGGAUAAGAAAAAUAUGACUUUAAAUUCCAAGGCUAUGAAUGCUUUAUUUUGUGCCUUAGAUAAAAAUGAAUUUCAUAAAGUUUCAAAUUGUUCUAAUGCUUGUGAAAUUUGGAGAAAACUUGAAAUUGUGUAUGAGGAGACUACAAACGAGGAGGAAUUUCAUGAAGUGUCGAAUUUUGCACUUAUGGCAAUUGGAGAUGAAUCGGAUGAUGAACUUGAUGAGGUAAGUGAUCCAACCUAUGAUGAAUUGUAUGAUGCUUUUAAAGAAAUGCAUGAUGAGUUGAUGAAAAUUGGUAAAAAGAAUGCAUGCCUUAAAAAGAAAUUGCUAGAAUCUACAAAUGAAAAGGAUGCCAUGCAAAAAUGCAAUGAGUCAUUGAAUGAGAAGAUUAAAGGAUUAGAAUUAGAGAAUAAAACCUUGCAUAAUAGAGUUGCAUUAUCAAAUGAGAAACUUAGCACUUCACAUGAGCAUCUAGAAUCAUAUGUAGAUGACUUGAAAAAUGAAAAUGAUGCUUUACAGAAAUACAAUGAUUCAUUAAAUGAAAAGAUUAAAGGACUAGAGUUGGAUAAUAAAAUGUUGCAUGAUAGAAUUGCAUCAUUUAAAUGCAAGCAAAGAACUUCAUAUGAGCAUGAAAAAUCACAUGUUGGUGAAUUAAUGAAAGAAAAUGAAGUACUUAAGAAAAAGAGCAAUGAACUAAAUCAAAUUGUGUUAAAGUUCACAAAUGGGCAAAAGAUGUUAGAUAACUUGCUUAAUUCACAAAAAUGUGUGUUUGAUAAAGGAGGUAUCGGUUAUAAGCUAAAUUUGAAACAAAAAUAUUAUAAGAGUUAUUUUGUUAAAACUACCUCCAUUAAUGAUCAAAUUGUAUGUCAUUAUUGCAAUCAAAAUAGUCAUAUGAAGAAUAAAUGUCCAAUUAAAAGAAAUGUGUAUUAUGGAGCAAAAGCUUCAUCAAGGAACUCUUCAUCAUUCCUUGAUUGUGGUACCUACAAAGAAAACAUUCACAUUGUGCCCUUUGGUACCCAAAUACUCUUGGGUCCUUGAGUGUUAGCAAUGAUUCCUUUUGGAACCCAAAUACAUUUUGCUCCAUAAUACACAUUUCUUUUAAUUGGACAUUUAUUCUUCAUAUGACUAUUUUGAUUGCAAUAAUGACAUACAAUUUGAUCAUUAAUGGAGGUAGUUUUAAUCUUAGUAAAUAUUUAACAUUUCAUUUCGUAUCAUAACAUUAAGUGCAUUAACAUGAUGUGGAUAAGUUUAACAUGAUGUGGAUAAAGUUUAACAUGAUAUGGAUAAGUUUAUCUUAGCUAUUUACUAUAUUGAGUGAAUCAUGAUAAAUGAAUUUGCGAAAGUAUGCUUGUAUGUUUACAUGAUGGAAUUAUCAUUGUAUUUAACAUUGAAUGUUUUAUCAUGAUGUAUGGCUAUAUAUAUAUAUAUGAUGAUAGCUUGUCAACUCAUCAUGAUGGAUUUAUUUUUAUGAUUAUGUAAUGCCUAAGCAUGAUAAAUAAGUGAUAUGCUUUAAUUCUCAAUCUUCGAAUACUUACAUAUUUCAUGAUUGUGUGAUGUAUAUGCAUGAUAGAUGAGUUAUAUGUUAUUUCUUGCAUUAGAAGUGAUCAUGGUGGAUAAUUAGAAAAUCAUGCAUUUGAGAUUUUUUUGUAAUGAUUUUGCCAUUGAAUAUAAAUUUUCAUCACCUAUAACUCCACAUCAAAAUGGAGUUGUAGAGAGAAAGGAUAGGUCUAUUCAAAAAAUGGUUAAGACCACAUUGAUUAGACAUCAUCUCAAUAAUACUCUCUAUGAGCUUUGGAAAUGAUCAUGGUGGAUAAUUAGAAAAUCAUGCAUUUGAGAUUUUUUUGUAAUGAUUUUGCCAUUGAAUAUAAAUUUUCAUCACCUAUAACUCCACAUCAAAAUGGAGUUGUAGAGAGAAAGGAUAGGUCUAUUCAAAAAAUGGUUAAGACCACAUUGAUUAGACAUCAUCUCAAUAAUACUCUCUAUGAGCUUUGGAAAUAUAGAAAACCCAACAUUAGUUAUUGCAAAGUUUUUGGAUGCAAAUGUUAUAUUUUGAACACAAAAGAUAAUCUUGGCAAAUUUGAUCCAAAAUUUGAUGUUGGUAUUUUUCUUGGCUAUUCAAACACAAGCAAAACUUAUGGAGUGUAUAACAAAAGAACUUUGAUUGUGGAAGAAUUUAUACAUGUUAUAUUUGAUGAGUCUAAUUCUUCAUCUACGGAGAAAGUUGUUGUUGAUGAUAAUGUAGAUGAAAAGCUACAAGAAGAUUAUCAAAUGAUAGCUAAAAGAACACACCACUUGAAAAUCAAGAGGAGCAACACGAAGAAAUAAAUGCGGAGUAAAAUGAAGGUACUUUCUCAUACAUUCCCAAAGAGUAGAUGUAUGUUUCUUCUCACCUUAAGAACUUAAUUUUGAAAGAUCCAUCACAAGGUGUAACUACUAUAUCAUCACUUAAAAAUAUAUGUGAGCAUUUGUAAUAACGGAUUUGAUCACUUGUUCUUUAACUCAUAAUUAUGGCUUUUCUUAAUAGUUAUGUUGAUUUUGAUGAUUUAUAUAUUGCCAUUACGUACUUAUGUUUUUACUUAAGUUUUGAUGAUAAAGAAUGUGCAUUGAUGAUUACAUUGUAUUUAAUGAAGCUUUGAUCUUAUGCAAUCUAUGAUUAGUGAAUGAAUGCAUUUUUUGUACUUUAUCGAUGUAUUGUUGAAUAUGUCUUACUUAUUUUAAAUGAUAUCGAAAAAGGGAGAAAUACAUAUACUUCGAGAAUUUUAAGUAUAUGAGAUUUUUUUUAUAUUGAAUGUCACAUUAGAUAUUUGAUGAGUUUAGUUGUCUUUAUUUAUAAAAUGUGAUUGAUAAUUAUGGAGUUUGAAUAUUUGAUAAUAUGCAUGCCAAUUUGGUAAAGAAAUCAAAACCUCUUUGCGAAGAAGAAUUUUCAAAAAUUCGGCAUAAACUUGGAAUGAUUUGAUUUCUUGAUGAUUUUGGUAAUUGAUGAUUAUAUGUGCGUUGCUUGAUGAAUUGAAGGAGUUGUUAGUUGGUUAUUAUUGUUUAAGCUUAUAUGGAAGUGUUUUUAACCAUGUUGUGUAUUUGAGAAUUUGUUCAUUUUUAAGGGGGAGACAAAUAUAAUAUGUUUUUGGAUAAAAUCAUUUCGGUUAAAUUUUUAAAUUGGCCAUAUAUUUAGGGGGAGCAUAUAAUAUGAUUUUGGAUAAUAUGCAUUUUGAAUUUUUUUUUUUGUUGUCCAAAGGGGGAAACAAAAUAAUAUAUCAUUUCGAUGUUAUCAAAAGGAAGAGAAUAAUAUGUAUUUUGAGUAAUUGUUUUGAUUAUGGUGAUGAUUUGAUGUUUUUGAGAUAUGAUGAUUACAUGGGUGUUUUAUAUGAUAAUUUCAUGUUAUGAGUUGUUGACUUGGUAAUUGAUAGAAUAAUGGUUCAUGAUAUUUUUGUGUGAUGAUUUGUGUAUGGAGUUGGCAUGUAUCAUGAUUUAUAAUAUUUUGGGAGUAAUAUUACUAAACUUGUAUUUGAGGUAAUGCUUGUUGAUAGGGGGAGAAUGUGUCAAAAUUUCUACUCGGCUACAUGGGUAACAAAUUUGCCACUCAUUUUCUUUUCCACUAAGUUUUCUUUUUGAUGAUGAGGGGGAGAAGAAUGCAUGUAAUUAAAUUUGUUAAUUUAGCUAAAUUGUAAGAGAAUAUUAAAUAAUUGUAAGAAUGCAUGUAUUUACAUUUAGGGGGAGCAAUUUGUGCAAUCUUUUUUUUAAAUACAUGAAACGUUUGUCAUCAUCAAAAAGGGGGAGAUUGUUAACAUAUAUGUUUUCAUAAUGUUGAUUUUGAUGAUAACAAACAAGAUUAAGAAUGAUUAAUCUUUUAAGCCCAAAUUAUUUAAUAUUCUUUUUAAAUAAAUUAUUAUUUUUACAUUAUAAAGGUUUUAUCUUUAAUGGAAAAAUGAUUUUAUGAAAUUGGUUGUUUUUCAAAGUUUAUGGUUUAAUUGAAAGAAUUUUGAAAACUUUGAAAUAAACAAGUAUUGCUUGAAAUUUUGGAGAAUGACUUAUUUGAAAAGUGUCAUAGCAUUUUGGGCUAUACCAUAAUUUCAGAAAGUUUUGGGAUUAACAAAGCAUUUCUUAAAAAUUUUGAAAUUGGACCUAUGUGCAACGUUUCAUAACAUUUUGGGUCGUAAUACAGUUUUAUAAAGUUUUGGGGUCAAACUGUAAAUUUGGAAAAUAAUUUCACUGUAGCAAUCACUGGAGCAAACGACUAACCGUUUAUUUAAAAACGGCUAACCAAUAAUUUCCAGAAAGCAUGUUCUACAAAGUAUUGUUAAAAUGAUGAUUCUGGAAACUAACGGUGAACCGUUUACUGAAAACGGUUAACUGAUUAUUUCCAGACUGCUAACCUUGAACCGUUUAGUAAGAACGGUUAAACCAAAUUUGUUUUGCAGGUCUCUGGAAAUUAACGGCGAAAGGGUAAGCCUAAACAGCUAACCGUUUAAUUAAAAAUUGGCCCAACGGUAACUUUGACCGGCCUAAACGGUUAACCGUUAAUGGUUAACGGCGAACCGUUUUCGAGCAAACAGUCUAUAACGGCUAGUUUUUCAGCUCCAACUAUAAAUAAGCUCAAUCCAAUUCAAACAAGAAGAAUUCCAACGAUCAUCAUUGAGCAAAAUAUUGAGAAUACAACUUUCAUUGAGCUUUAAAUCUUUGUAUUCAUCUCAUUCAUUCACACAUUGAGCUUUCACUUGUGAUCAAACACAUUGUGUGAGAGAGAUUCAUUUGUAAUCUUUUUUGUAAAAUCAAGUUAAAAGAUUGUAAGUAUUGGGAUACACUUGGGUUAAGAGAUUGGGGAUAAUCUUUUGUUGUAAAGGUCCAUUGACACCUUGGAAGUCAAUUGUAAGCGUUUGAAGUCUUGGGAGGCUAGCUUAGUGAAAUCCUCAAGCCCGGUGAGCUUGGAGGCGUGGACGUAGGCGGGGAUUGCCGAACCACGUAAAAAUCAUUGUGUUUGUUUUCUCUUCCCUUACUCUUUUAAUAUUGUGCACGAUUGAAUUUAUUGUUUUCAAUUUGAUUAAGGCAAUAGAUUAAAUUGUUGUGUGGUUUGCCUAGGAUAAUUUUUAAAAUCCCAAUUCACCCCCCUCUUGGGUUGCCUAGUUAGUAUUUCAUUUUUUGUAUAUAAAUAUGAAAAAUAUUUCAUUCACAAAUGAAACAUAUCUCCAUUAAGUAUUAACUAAGUUAUGAUUUCAUAAAUGAAAUAUCAAUGUCGUAAAAUUUUUUAUUUAUCAUUUAUAAAAUCAUGAU